This 438-nucleotide long non-coding RNA is filed under the name Mytilus galloprovincialis (Mediterranean mussel). Lineage: Eukaryota; Metazoa; Mollusca; Bivalvia; Mytilida; Mytilidae. The record is from RNAcentral.
CGCACGGUCGGCUCGGUGCCCGAAGGCGAUUGGUGAGCGUUUCAAUAUUUUCUGCCGUGGGUCAGGAACAGGUGGUAGAGGACGCCAUUUUGGAGGUCGCCAUUUUUGUUUUGGUGAGUAGAUUUUGGUUUGUUGACUAUUUUGAUCUUAUUUCUUCACAACGGCUGCUUUCAGGGCCAGUUUGGUCAGCUUGGCAGCCCGCUAACCUCGAUGAUGGAGUACUGGUAGAUGAGUCGUGGACGUAGUUCUAAAGAUGACAGGAAGCGUUAUCAGGACCAAAGCCGUGAGGCAGUGAAAUGAAGGUCAAUCACCCAACACCUAGGAUACAUCCCUCUGACGUUAAUCGGCAUAACACUCCCCAUGAUACAAUGGUUUUGGAGUACAUGUUAACGCUGGGCGGCCCAACCAUUGCGUUUACUGUACGGCGUUGGAUUGGUU